Molecule: long non-coding RNA, 225 nt
Filed under: Homo sapiens (human)
Lineage: Eukaryota; Metazoa; Chordata; Mammalia; Primates; Hominidae
Description: HSALNT0004996
Source: RNAcentral
GAGGCCCUGAAGAGACUGAAUGGGAGAGUGUGACUGCUCCCUGCAAAUCCUCCCCAUGUCUGGACUGAGGAAAUAGCUCGAAGCACCAUCCGUCUCCUGGUGGAGCAGCAGCAGCGUCCAGAAACUGACCACCCCACGUUGCACUGCCUCCUAUUGGCACUCGGAGCUUCCUUCUAUGCUGCUUGCCUAUUUAGGAGUCUGCUGCCCCUAACAGAGUGGAAAUUC